UGCAGAUGAUGUGAAAAAAUAUUUGCCAUCUGAGUGAUAGUGCUGACAUGUCGCCACCAAGAUCACUGAUGCA
Molecule: small nucleolar RNA, 73 nt
Filed under: Aptenodytes forsteri (emperor penguin)
Lineage: Eukaryota; Metazoa; Chordata; Aves; Sphenisciformes; Spheniscidae
Description: Small nucleolar RNA SNORD24
Rfam family: Small nucleolar RNA SNORD24
About the family: U24 is a member of the C/D class of snoRNA which contain the C (UGAUGA) and D (CUGA) box motifs.
Source: Rfam by way of RNAcentral